UACGUAGGGUGCGAGCGUUAAUCGGAAUUACUGGGCGUAAAGCGUGCGCGGGCGGUUCGUUAUGUCCGAUGUGAAAGCCCCGAGCUCAACUUGGGAAUGGCAUUGGAAACUGGCGGGCUGGAGUGUGGCAGAGGGGGGUGGAAUUCCACGUGUAGCAGUGAAAUGCGUAGAGAUCCGGAGGAACACCAAAGGCGAAGGCAGUGUCCUGGGGAGUACCUGACGCUCAGGUGCGAAAGCCAGGGGAGCGAACGGG
RNAcentral lists this ribosomal RNA (253 nucleotides) under uncultured bacterium. RNAcentral's name for it is "partial 16S ribosomal RNA". It matches the Rfam family "Bacterial small subunit ribosomal RNA", at positions 524 to 776 of the family's 1533-position model. The record is from RNAcentral.